AUAAUACGCCCCGCAAUGAAAGAAUGGCCGAGUUUACAGUAACUCGGAUCCAAAAUAAUCUGUCGUUGAUCUCGAAACUUCUUGAAACAAAUAUAGCUUUGUAUGCAUAUCGCUGGGACUGUUGCAUGUAGGUAUCGCAGCCAUUCAAAUAGAAAACAAAGCUCUUGAUGGAUGUUUCAAAUGUUUGUGGUCGUCAAGUCGAUCAUUUUCACCACGAUUUCUAAUGGGUAUUCGAUCUCUUUUUUCCAUAUUUUGCAACUGAGAUGGGCUUUGCUGUAAGGCGUUCAAUAGGGCCAUAUGAAUAGGACGGCCCGGCAGAGCACCAUUUGCCUGAUGGGCUGUAUAGUGAGAAUGCUGUAAAAGCGCUGCGGAAAAGGAAACGCUCAAACGAAACGACGAUGGUCUUUGAUGACGGUUAACAUCAGACUCAAGGCGUGCAAUAGGACCAUAUGAAUAGGACGGGCACAGCACAAUUUACGUGUGGUGACGUCUUCGCUUGGUCUCGGCAGAUGCAGAUGAACACUCGACCAGCUUCGGGCAAGAGGAACAAUUCGUGAAACUAAUACGUGUCAUACUCGAUCUUGAACAGCGAACGAUUAACAGAUAGGACACACUUGUCUCGUAUGCUACAUCUGGGCAGAUGAACACUCGACCAGUUUCGGGCAAGAGGAACAAUUCGUGAAAGUAAUACGUGUGAUACUCGAUCGUGAACAGCGAACGGUGAACAGAUAGGACACACUUGUCUCGUAUGCUAAAUCAUCAACAGUGAGGCUUUAAUGGAUCACCAUUUCGGUUAGAAUUUGAAGUCCUGCGAAAUGAUGUGAAUGGUGGUUUUUACUCAAAUCAAGUAAAGAUAAACUGACAUUAUCUUUUUUUAAUAUUUUUUUCGCCGAUCAACAUAUUGUUUCAAAAUAAGGGUUGACCAUAGGUAUCACCAUUUCGGCUGGAAUUUGAAGUCCUGAAGCAAUGCGAACUUCUUCAAAAUGAUGUGAA
Lineus longissimus is the source of this 993-nucleotide long non-coding RNA. RefSeq lists it as uncharacterized. The record is from RefSeq and is a predicted model, not a curated record. The transcript is spliced from 3 exons. NCBI's taxonomy places the organism in Eukaryota, Metazoa, Nemertea, Pilidiophora, Heteronemertea, Lineidae.